AAUGAUAAAGUUACCCUCCUUGAUAUGGAGGUAAAGAAGUCCUUAUUUCUAUCAUUA
This 57-nucleotide transfer RNA is filed under the name Ascoschoengastia sp. TATW-1. RNAcentral describes it as "tRNA-Ile". Lineage: Eukaryota; Metazoa; Arthropoda; Arachnida; Trombidiformes; Trombiculidae. The record is from RNAcentral.